CUAGACCUAGGGACGCAGCAGUGAGGAAUAUUGGUCAAUGGCCGGGAGGCUGAACCAGCCAAGUCGCGUGAGGGAAGACGGCCCUACGGGUUGUAAACCUCUUUUGUCAGGGAGCAAGGUGCAGGUCGGGACCUGCUGUGAGAGUACCUGAAGAAAAAGCAUCGGCUAACUCCGUGCCAGCAGCCGCGGUAAUACGGAGGAUGCGAGCGUUAUCCGGAUUUAUUGGGUUUAAAGGGUGCGCAGGCGGAGGCACAAGUCAGCGGUAAAAUCGCGGGGCUCAACCCCGCUCCGCCGUUGAAACUGUG
RNAcentral lists this ribosomal RNA (305 nucleotides) under uncultured bacterium. Its description in RNAcentral is "bacterial SSU rRNA". It matches the Rfam family "Bacterial small subunit ribosomal RNA", at positions 333 to 637 of the family's 1533-position model. The record is from RNAcentral.